RNAcentral lists this small nuclear RNA (317 nucleotides) under Aotus nancymaae (Ma's night monkey). Its description in RNAcentral is "7SK RNA (ENSANAG00000014965.1)". It matches the Rfam family "7SK RNA". From Rfam's summary of the family: 7SK was discovered as an abundant small nuclear RNA in the mid-70s but a possible function has only recently been suggested. Two independent studies have found that 7SK RNA binds the CDK9/cyclin T complex (known as elongation factor P-TEFb). The record is from RNAcentral. Lineage: Eukaryota; Metazoa; Chordata; Mammalia; Primates; Aotidae.
GGAUGUGAGGGCGAUCUGGCUGCGACAUCUGUCACCCCAUUCGUCGCCAGGGUUGAUGUGGCUGAUCUGGCUGGCUCAGCAGGCGUCCCCUUCUUCCCUCACCGCUCCAUGUGUACCUCUCCUGAAGCUGGGCACUCAUUUGAAGAGGAUGAUCAUCCCUGAUAGAGGAGGGCCAGCCUUCAUUCAAGGGUAUACGAGUAGCUGCACUCCCCUGCUAGAACCUCCGAACAAGCUCUCAAGGUCCAGAGACGUGAUGUGAACUCCAGGUCUUAGUUGAUGAUCACGUGGUUGUGCAGUGGUGCAGACUGUGUCUUUGA